GACGAACGCUGGCGGCGUGCCUAAUGCAUGCAAGUCGAACGAACAGAGAGGAACUUGCUUCUUCUCUCGAGUGGGGCGCUGGUGAGGGAAACGUGGGGAAAACCCCCCUAAGAUAGGGAUAGAUCUUCGGGAAACCAGGUCAAACAGAAUAUAAUAGGUAUAACCCCAUAGUUCCUGAGGAAAGGACGGUUUGGCUUCCCUUGAGGAUGAGCUCGCGUCCGAUUAGCUAGUUGGUAAGGUAAAGGCCCACCAAGGCGACGAUGCGUAGCCGGCCUGAGAGGGUGAUCGGACACACUGGAACUGAGAUACGGCCCAGACUCCUACGGGAGGCAGCAGCUGGGAAUAUUCCGCAAUGGACGGAAGUCUGACGGAGCAACGCCGCGUGAGUGAAGAAGGCUGUCGGAUCGUAAAAUCCUGUUGUUAGUGAAGAACAAGUGUGUAAGUAACUGCGCAUGUCAUGACGGUAACUAACCAGAAAGCCACGGCUAACUACGUG
This 496-nucleotide ribosomal RNA is filed under the name uncultured bacterium. RNAcentral's name for it is "partial 16S ribosomal RNA". It matches the Rfam family "Bacterial small subunit ribosomal RNA", at positions 28 to 507 of the family's 1533-position model. The record is from RNAcentral.